RNAcentral lists this ribosomal RNA (253 nucleotides) under uncultured bacterium. RNAcentral describes it as "partial 16S ribosomal RNA". It matches the Rfam family "Bacterial small subunit ribosomal RNA", at positions 524 to 776 of the family's 1533-position model. The record is from RNAcentral.
UACGGAGGGUGCGAGCGUUGUCCGGAAUCACUGGGCGUAAAGCGCACGUAGGCGGCUCGGCAAGCAUGGCGUGAAAGCCCCCGGCUCAACCGGGGAGAGUCGUCGUGGACUGCCGAGCUUGAGGGCGGCAGGGGUUGGUGGAAUUCCCGGUGUAGUGGUGAAAUGCGUAGAGAUCGGGAGGAACACCCGUGGCGAAGGCGGCCAACUGGGCCGGCCCUGACGCUGAGGCGCGAAGGCGUGGGGAGCGAACGGG